RNAcentral lists this ribosomal RNA (2196 nucleotides) under Salmonella enterica subsp. enterica serovar Heidelberg. Its description in RNAcentral is "partial 23S ribosomal RNA". It matches the Rfam family "Bacterial large subunit ribosomal RNA", at positions 711 to 2803 of the family's 2925-position model. The record is from RNAcentral. Lineage: Bacteria; Pseudomonadati; Pseudomonadota; Gammaproteobacteria; Enterobacterales; Enterobacteriaceae.
AGACCCGAAACCCGGUGAUCUAGCCAUGGGCAGGUUGAAGGUUGGGUAACACUAACUGGAGGACCGAACCGACUAAUGUUGAAAAAUUAGCGGAUGACCUGUGGCUGGGGGUGAAAGGCCAAUCAAACCGGGAGAUAGCUGGUUCUCCCCGAAAGCUAUUUAGGUAGCGCCUCGUGAAUUCAUCUCCGGGGGUAGAGCACUGUUUCGGCUAGGGGGCCAUCCCGGCUUACCAACCCGAUGCAAACUGCGAAUACCGGAGAAUGUUAUCACGGGAGACACACGGCGGGUGCUAACGUCCGUCGUGAAGAGGGAAACAACCCAGACCGCCAGCUAAGGUCCCAAAGUCAUGGUUAAGUGGGAAACGAUGUGGGAAGGCCCAGACAGCCAGGAUGUUGGCUUAGAAGCAGCCAUCAUUUAAAGAAAGCGUAAUAGCUCACUGGUCGAGUCGGCCUGCGCGGAAGAUGUAACGGGGCUAAACCAUGCACCGAAGCUGCGGCAGCGAACGUAUCACCCAAGACAACUUUACGGAGUUGACGAUUGACGGAGCGAAGCGACGUCAAAGCGUUCAUUAAAGUCGAGUUGGCUUAGGGAUACGUUCGUUGGGUAGGGGAGCGUUCUGUAAGCCUGUGAAGGUGUGUCGUGAGGCAUGCUGGAGGUAUCAGAAGUGCGAAUGCUGACAUAAGUAACGAUAAAGCGGGUGAAAAGCCCGCUCGCCGGAAGACCAAGGGUUCCUGUCCAACGUUAAUCGGGGCAGGGUGAGUCGACCCCUAAGGCGAGGCCGAAAGGCGUAGUCGAUGGGAAACGGGUUAAUAUUCCCGUACUUGGUGUUACUGCGAAGGGGGGACGGAGAAGGCUAUGUUGGCCGGGCGACGGUUGUCCCGGUUUAAGCGUGUAGGUGUGUGUUCCAGGUAAAUCCGGUUCACUUUAACACUGAGGCGUGACGACGAGGCACUACGGUGCUGAAGCAACAAAUGCCCUGCUUCCAGGAAAAGCCUCUAAGCAUCAGGUAACAUCAAAUCGUACCCCAAACCGACACAGGUGGUCAGGUAGAGAAUACCAAGGCGCUUGAGAGAACUCGGGUGAAGGAACUAGGCAAAAUGGUGCCGUAACUUCGGGAGAAGGCACGCUGACACGUAGGUGAAGUGAUUUACUCAUGGAGCUGAAGUCAGUCGAAGAUACCAGCUGGCUGCAACUGUUUAUUAAAAACACAGCACUGUGCAAACACGAAAGUGGACGUAUACGGUGUGACGCCUGCCCGGUGCCGGAAGGUUAAUUGAUGGGGUCAGCGCAAGCGAAGCUCCUGAUCGAAGCCCCGGUAAACGGCGGCCGUAACUAUAACGGUCCUAAGGUAGCGAAAUUCCUUGUCGGGUAAGUUCCGACCUGCACGAAUGGCGUAAUGAUGGCCAGGCUGUCUCCACCCGAGACUCAGUGAAAUUGAACUCGCUGUGAAGAUGCAGUGUACCCGCGGCAAGACGGAAAGACCCCGUGAACCUUUACUAUAGCUUGACACUGAACAUUGAGCCUUGAUGUGUAGGAUAGGUGGGAGGCUUUGAAGUGUGGACGCCAGUCUGCAUGGAGCCGACCUUGAAAUACCACCCUUUAAUGUUUGAUGUUCUAACGUGGACCCGUUACCCGGGUUGCGGACAGUGUCUGGUGGGUAGUUUGACUGGGGCGGUCUCCUCCUAAAGAGUAACGGAGGAGCACGAAGGUUGGCUAAUCCUGGUCGGACAUCAGGAGGUUAGUGCAAUGGCAUAAGCCAGCUUGACUGCGAGCGUGACGGCGCGAGCAGGUGCGAAAGCAGGUCAUAGUGAUCCGGUGGUUCUGAAUGGAAGGGCCAUCGCUCAACGGAUAAAAGGUACUCCGGGGAUAACAGGCUGAUACCGCCCAAGAGUUCAUAUCGACGGCGGUGUUUGGCACCUCGAUGUCGGCUCAUCACAUCCUGGGGCUGAAGUAGGUCCCAAGGGUAUGGCUGUUCGCCAUUUAAAGUGGUACGCGAGCUGGGUUUAGAACGUCGUGAGACAGUUCGGUCCCUAUCUGCCGUGGGCGCUGGAGAACUGAGGGGGGCUGCUCCUAGUACGAGAGGACCGGAGUGGACGCAUCACUGGUGUUCGGGUUGUCAUGCCAAUGGCACUGCCCGGUAGCUAAAUGCGGAAGAGAUAAGUGCUGAAAGCAUCUAAGCACGAAACUUGCCCCGAG